UGGGGAAUAUUGCACAAUGGGCGCAAGCCUGAUGCAGCCAUGCCGCGUGUAUGAAGAAGGCCUUCGGGUUGUAAAGUACUUUCAGCGAGGAGGAAGGUGGUAAGGUUAAUAACCUUAUCGAUUGACGUUACUCGCAGAAGAAGCACCGGCUAACUCCGUGCCAGCAGCCGCGGUAAUACGGAGGGUGCAAGCGUUAAUCGGAAUUACUGGGCGUAAAGCGCACGCAGGCGGUCUGUCAAGUCGGAUGUGAAAUCCCCGGGAUCAACCUGGGAACUGCAUUCGAAACUGGCAGGCUAGAGUCUUGUAGAGGGGGGUAGAAUUCCAGGUGUAGCGGUGAAAUGCGUAGAGAUCUGGAGGAAUACCGGUGGCGAAGGCGGCCCCCUGGACAAAGACUGACGCUCAGGUGCGAAAGCGUGGGGAGCAAACA
RNAcentral lists this ribosomal RNA (427 nucleotides) under uncultured bacterium. RNAcentral's name for it is "partial 16S ribosomal RNA". It matches the Rfam family "Bacterial small subunit ribosomal RNA", at positions 355 to 774 of the family's 1533-position model. The record is from RNAcentral.